GACUUCCUUUGGUGAUGAACAACAAUAUGGAAAUGUGCUGCCCACACUUCUGUCCCUUGGAUACCCAUCCACAUUUCACCCACAGCACCAGGAUGCCUCCCCGUUGUCUACUGCGAUGGGAGUGGCACUGUUAAGAG
Molecule: long non-coding RNA, 137 nt
Organism: Mastomys coucha (southern multimammate mouse)
Lineage: Eukaryota; Metazoa; Chordata; Mammalia; Rodentia; Muridae
Exons: 3
Source: RefSeq, a predicted model, not a curated record